Molecule: long non-coding RNA, 1925 nt
Filed under: Homo sapiens (human)
Lineage: Eukaryota; Metazoa; Chordata; Mammalia; Primates; Hominidae
Description: Pvt1 oncogene, transcript variant 34 (PVT1)
Rfam family: Pvt1 oncogene conserved region 1 (bases 34-211)
Source: RNAcentral
CCCGCGCUCCUCCGGGCAGAGCGCGUGUGGCGGCCGAGCACAUGGGCCCGCGGGCCGGGCGGGCUCGGGGCGGCCGGGACGAGGAGGGGCGACGACGAGCUGCGAGCAAAGAUGUGCCCCGGGACCCCCGGCACCUUCCAGUGGAUUUCCUUGCGGAAAGGAUGUUGGCGGUCCCUGUGACCUGUGGAGACACGGCCAGAUCUGCCCUCCAGCCUGAUCUUUUGGCCAGAAGGAGAUUAAAAAGAUGCCCCUCAAGAUGGCUGUGCCUGUCAGCUGCAUGGAGCUUCGUUCAAGUAUUUUCUGAGCCUGAUGGAUUUACAGUGAUCUUCAGUGGUCUGGGGAAUAACGCUGGUGGAACCAUGCACUGGAAUGACACACGCCCGGCACAUUUCAGGAUACUAAAAGUGGUUUUAAGGGAGGCUGUGGCUGAAUGCCUCAUGGAUUCUUACAGCUUGGAUGUCCAUGGGGGACGAAGGACUGCAGCUGGCUGAGAGGGUUGAGAUCUCUGUUUACUUAGAUCUCUGCCAACUUCCUUUGGGUCUCCCUAUGGAAUGUAAGACCCCGACUCUUCCUGGUGAAGCAUCUGAUGCACGUUCCAUCCGGCGCUCAGCUGGGCUUGAGCUGACCAUACUCCCUGGAGCCUUCUCCCGAGGUGCGCGGGUGACCUUGGCACAUACAGCCAUCAUGAUGGUACUUUAAGUGGAGGCUGAAUCAUCUCCCCUUUGAGCUGCUUGGCACGUGGCUCCCUUGGUGUUCCCCUUUUACUGCCAGGACACUGAGAUUUGGAGAGAAUCCUGUUACACCUGGGAUUUAGGCACUUUCAAUCUGAAAAAAUACAUAUCCUUUCAGCACUCUGGACGGACUUGAGAACUGUCCUUACGUGACCUAAAGCUGGAGUAUUUUGAGAUUGGAGAAUUAAGGCCAACAGAGAUUUUGAGAAACACAUUGAAGGAUCUGUUAACACUUGAUAUACCCAAUAAAAGCAGUGGUUGUGCCAGUGCUGAUCUGUCUUGAUGUGAAUGUGAACAAUGGGAACCUGAGCUGAGCAGUUAAUGCUAGGGUGACAGAAACUGGACCUCUCCCAAGACAUGUGACAGAGUAAUACAGCAGCCAACUUCUUCGCCAAAUUAAAGUUUUACAAGAUUUAACCUGUCAUCAAGACCUGGGAUUUUGGUGAGCCAGUCUUGGUGCUCUGUGUUCACCUGGUUCAUCUGAGGAGCUGCAUCUACCCUGCCCAUGCCAUAGAUCCUGCCCUGUUUGCUUCUCCUGUUGCUGCUAGUGGACAUGAGAUCUUGGACAUGAUACCUGGAUGUGCAGCAGCCAUCUGGUAAUUAUGAGGUGACAAGUCAAUAGACUGAGAUGGUGGAGCAGCAAAGAUAGAAAAGCAAAACUUUGUGGUUUCUGCUCUGAAUGUCAGGGUAACCCUGUCUGAGGAUGAUCACGGAUUUCAUUUUCCCUUGUUUGUUAGCGUUGCGGUCAGCCGCAAGUUGAAAACAAGGAACCAGCUUGAGAAGGACAGAAUAACGGGCUCCCAGAUUCACAAGCCCCACCAAGAGGAUCACCCCAGGAACGCUUGGAGGCUGAGGAGUUCACUGAGGCUACUGCAUCUUGAGACUCAGGAUGAAGACCCAGCUUGGGGCUGUCAAAGGUUUUUUGCAUGUCUGACACCCAUGACUCCACCUGGACCUUAUGGCUCCACCCAGAAGCAAUUCAGCCCAACAGGAGGACAGCUUCAACCCAUUACGAUUUCAUCUCUGCCCCAACCACUCAGCAGCAAGCACCUGUUACCUGUCCACCCCCACCCCUUCCCCCAAACUGCCUUUGAAAAAUCCCUAACCUAUGAGCUUUGAAUAAGAUGAGUACGAACUUCAUCGCCCACGUGGCGUGGCCGGCCUCGUGUCUAUUAAAUUCUUUUUCUACUACAA